Non-coding RNA from Callorhinchus milii (elephant shark), 72 nucleotides. The record is from the annotation of a RefSeq genome assembly. Lineage: Eukaryota; Metazoa; Chordata; Chondrichthyes; Chimaeriformes; Callorhinchidae.
AGUCCUGUAGCUCAGUGGUGAGGGCACUCGCCUGGCAAGUGUGAGACCUGGGUUCGAUUCCCAGCAGGGCGA